RNAcentral lists this transfer RNA (85 nucleotides) under Candidatus Kaiserbacteria bacterium. RNAcentral's name for it is "tRNA-Ser". It matches the Rfam family "tRNA". Rfam says of the family: Transfer RNA (tRNA) molecules are approximately 80 nucleotides in length. Their secondary structure includes four short double-helical elements and three loops (D, anti-codon, and T loops). Lineage: Bacteria; Candidatus Kaiseribacteriota. The record is from RNAcentral.
GGAGGCGUCGCAUAGUGGUCUAGUGCGCUCGCUUGGAAAGCGAGUAAGGUGAAAGCCUUCGAGGGUUCAAAUCCCUCCGCCUCCG